UGUAAAAAAAAAGUUAACACUAUAGUAUCAUUUUUGAUGAAACAAAUAACAUGCGUAAUAUAUCACAAAUGAGUCUCACACUUAGAUACAUUGAUACCAAUAAUAAAGUUCAUGAAAAAUUUAUCAUCUUGAUUGCCAUGAAUAUGUACACAAAGCAAGUAUGAUGAAACAGUUAAUAGCAUUGAUGAAGAACAUAAUAUUAAACCUAGUAAAAAACUAGAACCAAAAUUAUCUGGUGAAAUAUUAGGGAAUACUGUUGUAUCUAUACUAAAAGAAAUGUCUUUAGAACUGGAUUACUGUGUAAGAAUUGGCACAGAUGGUUGUUCUGUGAUGACAUUAACCAUACGAAGUGCAAUUCAACAAAUUAAAAACUCUACACAUUAUGUUGUUCAUAGUCCAUGUUCUAAUCAUUCUCUCAAUCUAUAUUGUUAAUUUAUGAUGAUAAAAAAUAAAAAAAAAAAUCUAUAUCAAAAUCAUCAAAUGUACAAUUAAUAAGAAAUAGUGUAGGAAUAAUAGUAGCAAGAUAUACCUUUUUUUAAUAGUCAC
Molecule: non-coding RNA, 546 nt
Organism: Cinara cedri
Lineage: Eukaryota; Metazoa; Arthropoda; Insecta; Hemiptera; Aphididae
Source: the annotation of a GenBank genome assembly